UUUGAACUGGCUUCUAACAUUGCUACUCUUCCUUUGCCAUCCAUCUUUCUUCACGAAAGUACCGCAUCAAUUCGCGGUGCGUAAAAGAUAGCGAAGUAGAAAAGGGGGAAAUCCCGCAAGCAACGAUAUGGCGAAUACAAUCAAUUCAAGGACUUAGAAGACAACAGUAUAACCGACCGGAAACUGAUGUAUCCGGGUAUGGUUGACUAUUAACUGGUGGAGAAUCACAACCGGAAUAUCAUAUAUCAUGCUUUCCGAGGCCCACUACUUCUGCUGGUCGCUUCAGCGAUUGGAAGACAAACACAACUUCGACUGAUGAUUUUUUCGAACGAGCUACAUCCCUAUCUGCCAUGAUGUGUGACCAACAACAUCUAUAUCGUCAAAUACCUUCCAGACGAUAUCUUAGCCCAUGGUCCUGUUUACGGACGGCGGGUGUUUGCUCUCUAGCCUAUCAACGGCCGAAUCAAAAACAUUAAGAUGAGCGCUCGAAACAUGUUUCAGGAGCAGGUGGUCGAACUGCGUUCUCUUCUCCGCCAACGGUUCGCCCUUCUACGUUCUGAACAGCUUGGUCACCUCGGAGUUGGAGCCCGCCGAAAAGCAGUUGGGGGGGCAGCUGAUCGAGGGCUAUCGGAAAAGUGGAAUCGACAUGGGAAUGGACAGUGACGUCGACGAUCUUCGCCUGUACGACAAUAGCGGUCUUGGUCAACAAUUUUCGAUUGACUUAUUGUCACAGGGCUAUUGAAGGGGGAGCUCGAUGUGCUCGAUGUCACUUCAUUAAAGCAUAAUUUACCUCAAAAGUCCUGUCGUACGCUUGGGCUCCAUGGUGGUCGAAUUGACUACAGCUUUGGAGCAGCAUACAAGAAAGGCGACAGAUCUCGUUUCCCGUUUUCCCAUCGUCAUGGCAGCGUGAGGAUCGUAGAUGCUGGAUAAUUCGUAUGGAUACGAGAAGUGGCAUCGAUGUAUAUUGUCAAAUGGACGUAGGCGUUGCAAUGGGGCAUCGAGGAAUAUAAGCCAGACUGUAUGCCCACAGCUCCAUUUGGGGCCAUAAGGGUUUCUCCUCAAAGGAUCAGGCCGUCUCCAGCUAUUUCUCCCUCAAGUCAAUCAUAUUUACUGUUACCCUAUUAUCAGAAAUACCAAGGAUGUCCUUAUCACCCUUGACUUGCUCUUCUUCAGGCCGGUGUUUGCAUGUCCAAUUGGACGAAAGGGUUUAGAGCGAGGGGUUUAUUACCAAAAGUGACUCGCUCGACACUGUGACUAGCCUACAGACAGAUUAUUGAGAAUAUCGUCGAUUCUAUCGAAGGUUUGGCUAAUGAUCAGAAGAAAUGAGCGCACCUCAUUCCCAAAACAGCUAAGAAACAUCCAAUUAACUGAAGCGGUAAGGGUGUCCUCACCAUCGACAUCGAUAACGACCUUGGCAUUCUUCUCACUGGGGUCGAAAAAGCUGCUCUCCUACAAGGGGCUAUCGAGAUCCUCCAGGGUUUCCUCUGCGCGGUAUGCGACCUUCUUCAUAAUCUAAGGAAUAACCUUCUCACUGGUACAGAAGUCCUGGUAACGUGAAUAAAACUUUGUGUUGGAUGUACAUUGCGUAGGCCUCAUUCUCGGCUAAAAUCAAGAUGUGUUCGGCAAGCGCGCUGGUGUAAAAACUCUUUCUCUUUCGUUCUCACCUCUGCGUAUUGGUGAAACAUGCAUUAAACCAGUCUUCUCGUAAACUUUGAGCCCCUUGGAAGCUGUUUAAGAGUAAUUUGAAGGAUAGAAUGCA
Molecule: small RNA, 1759 nt
Filed under: Cryptococcus neoformans H99
Lineage: Eukaryota; Fungi; Basidiomycota; Tremellomycetes; Tremellales; Cryptococcaceae
Description: Cryptococcus neoformans var. grubii H99 hypothetical RNA
Source: RNAcentral